RNAcentral lists this ribosomal RNA (422 nucleotides) under uncultured bacterium. RNAcentral describes it as "bacterial SSU rRNA". It matches the Rfam family "Bacterial small subunit ribosomal RNA", at positions 917 to 1341 of the family's 1533-position model. The record is from RNAcentral.
GGGCCCGCACAAGCGGUGGAGCAUGUGGUUUAAUUCGAUGAUACGCGAGGAACCUUACCAGGACUUAAAUGUAAGUUGCAUGAUUCAGAAAUGAAUCUUUCUUCGGACUACUUACAAGGUGUUGCAUGGUUGUCGUCAGCUCGUGCCGUGAGGUGUCAGGUUAAGUCCUAUAACGAGCGCAACCCCUAUCGUUAGUUGCCAUCAAGUAAAGUUGGGAACUCUAGCGAAACUGCCGGUGCAAACCGUGAGGAAGGUGGGGAUGACGUCAAAUCAUCACGGCCCUUACGUUCUGGGCUACACACGUGCUACAAUGGCCGGUACAGAAAGCAGCCACUAUGCGAAUAGGAGCUAAUCUUUAAAAACCGGUCUCAGUUCGGAUCGCAGUCUGCAACUCGACUGCGUGAAGCUGGAAUCGCUAGUAA